Molecule: transfer RNA, 78 nt
Filed under: Candidatus Undinarchaeales archaeon
Lineage: Archaea; Nanobdellati; Candidatus Undinarchaeota; Candidatus Undinarchaeia; Candidatus Undinarchaeales
Description: tRNA-Glu
Rfam family: tRNA
About the family: Transfer RNA (tRNA) molecules are approximately 80 nucleotides in length. Their secondary structure includes four short double-helical elements and three loops (D, anti-codon, and T loops). Further hydrogen bonds mediate the characteristic L-shaped molecular structure. tRNAs have two regions of fundamental functional importance: the anti-codon, which is responsible for specific mRNA codon recognition, and the 3' end, to which the tRNAs corresponding amino acid is attached (by aminoacyl-tRNA synthetases). tRNAs cope with the degeneracy of the genetic code in two manners: having more than one tRNA (with a specific anti-codon) for a particular amino acid; and 'wobble' base-pairing, i.e. permitting non-standard base-pairing at the 3rd anti-codon position.
Source: RNAcentral
GCCCUGAUGGUGUAGUCCGGUCAAUCAUUCAGCCUUCUCAAGGCUGGGACCUGGGUUCGAAUCCCGGUCGGGGCACCA